GGUUAAGCGACUAAGCGUACACGGUGGAUGCCCUGGCAGUCAGAGGCGAUGAAGGGCGUGCUAAUCUGCGAUAAGCGCCGGUAAGGUGAUAUGAACCGUUAUAACCGGCGAUACCCGAAUGGGGAAACCCAGUGUGACUCGUCACACUAUCAUUAACUGAAUCCAUAGGUUAAUGAGGCGAACCGGGGGAACUGAAACAUCUAAGUACCCCGAGGAAAAGAAAUCAACCGAGAUUCCCCCAGUAGCGGCGAGCGAACGGGGAGGAGCCCAGAGCCUGAAUCAGCAUGUGUGUUAGUGGAAGCGUCUGGAAAGGCGCGCGAUACAGGGUGACAGCCCCGUACACAAAAGCGCAUGUGCUGUGAGCUCGAUGAGUAGGGCGGGACACGUGGUAUCCUGUCUGAAUAUGGGGGGACCAUCCUCCAAGGCUAAAUACUCCUGACUGACCGAUAGUGAACCAGUACCGUGAGGGAAAGGCGAAAAGAACCCCGGCGAGGGGAGUGAAAAAGAACCUGAAACCGUGUACGUACAAGCAGUGGGAGCACCCUUUGGGGUGUGACUGCGUACCUUUUGUAUAAUGGGUCAGCGACUUAUAUUCUGUAGCAAGGUUAACCGAAUAGGGGAGCCGGAG
Molecule: ribosomal RNA, 628 nt
Filed under: Salmonella enterica subsp. enterica serovar Abony
Lineage: Bacteria; Pseudomonadati; Pseudomonadota; Gammaproteobacteria; Enterobacterales; Enterobacteriaceae
Description: partial 23S ribosomal RNA
Rfam family: Bacterial large subunit ribosomal RNA
Source: RNAcentral